Molecule: ribosomal RNA, 465 nt
Filed under: Vreelandella stevensii
Lineage: Bacteria; Pseudomonadati; Pseudomonadota; Gammaproteobacteria; Oceanospirillales; Halomonadaceae
Description: partial 16S ribosomal RNA
Rfam family: Bacterial small subunit ribosomal RNA
Source: RNAcentral
CCUACGGGUGGCUGCAGUGGGGAAUAUUGGACAAUGGGGGCAACCCUGAUCCAGCCAUGCCGCGUGUGUGAAGAAGGCCCUCGGGUUGUAAAGCACUUUCAGUGAGGAAGAACGCCUGGUGGUUAAUACCCAUCAGGAAAGACAUCACUCACAGAAGAAGCACCGGCUAACUCCGCGCCAGCAGCCGCGGUAAUACGGAGGGUGCGAGCGUUAAUCGGAAUUACUGGGCGUAAAGCGCGCGUAGGUGGCUUGAUAAGCCGGUUGUGAAAGCCCCGGGCUCAACCUGGGAACGGCAUCCGGAACUGUCAAGCUAGAGUGCAGGAGAGGAAGGUAGAAUUCCCGGUGUAGCGGUGAAAUGCGUAGAGAUCGGGAGGAAUACCAGUGGCGAAGGCGGCCUUCUGGACUGACACUGACACUGAGGUGCGAAAGCGUGGGUAGCAAACAGGAUUAGAUACCCCUGUAGUC